AGUCAAGAAAGAAAGGGCACAAGGUGGAUGCCUUGGCACAUGAAGGCGAUAAAGGACGUAAGUGAACGAAAACUAGGGUGAGCUCACAAAAAGCACUGACCCCUAGGUCUCCGAAUGGGGCAACCCGGUUGUGGAAGACACAAUCAUUACUAAGUGAAUACAUAGCUUAGUAAGGCGAUACCCUGCGAACUGAAACAUCUAAGUAGCAGGAGGAAGAGAAAGAAACAUCGAUUUUCUAAGUAGCGGCGAGCGAAAGGAAAAGAGCCUAACUCAUUAGCGAUAUCUUAAAGUUAGUCGAAUUAUUUGAAAAGAUAAACCAAAGAAAGUGACAGUCUUGUAGACGAAAGCUUUAAGAUACGAGAGGGAAAGUAUCACCGGGCACGAGUAACCCGGUGUGAAGAUAGGGGGCCCAUCCCCUAAGGCUAAAUACUAACAUGUGACCGAUAGUGAACAAGUACCGUGAGGGAAAGGUGAAAAGAACCCCGAAAGGGGAGUGAAAUAGAACCUGAAACCUAGUGCCUACAAGCAGACAGAGCGUGUAUGAACGUGAUGUCGUACCUUUUGUAGAAUGGGCCAGCGAGUUAUUCUAUAUUGCAAGGUUAAUGAUUUAAGAUCAGAAGCCGUAGCGAAAGCGAGUCUUAAUAGGGCGAAAGUAAGAUGGAAUAGACCCGAAACCGGGUGAUCUAUCCAUGGUCAGAGUGAAGUUGAAGUAAAAUUCAAUGGAGGCUCGAACCGGGUGCGGUUUAAAACGCAUCGGAUGAACUGUGGAUAGGGGCGAAAAACCAAACGAACCCGGAGAUAGCUGGUUCUCCUCGAAAUUCAAGUCAGGGAGUCAGACUUAGGGGGAUAAGCUUCUAAGUCGAAAGGGAAACAGCCCAGACCGACAGCUAAGGUCCCAAAAUUUGAAUUAAGUGGAAAAGGAUGUGAAUCUACUAAGACAACCAGGACGUUGGCUUAGAAGCAGCCAUGCAUUUAAAGAAUGCGUAAUAGCUCACUGGUCAAGUGGGUUUGCGCCGAAAAUGAACGGGGCUAAAUUCAAUACCGAAGCUUCGGAUUAAUAGAGGGAUUAAGUUUACAAAUGAGACUAGGAAAUAUUUAACAAAAACAAUAACAGAAGAGAUUAUAUAAGAAAUGCAAAUUUCAGACGCAGACAUAAAAGAUAGGAUAUUAAAGAUAAGAUAUUCAAAAAACACAAGUCUAAAGUCAAAGUAGGUAUCAUAAGAAAUUAUGAACUAACAAUCACUGGUUAGAGUUAAAAAACUAGGACUCAUAGCUAAACUUAAUACCUCUAUUACUGGUAGAGGAGCAUUGUAUUAGAGACGAAGCCAAGGCGAAAGCAAAAGUGGAUUUAAUACAAGAGAGAAUGCUGGCAUGAGUAGCGAGAAGGGAUGUGAGAAUCAUCCCCGUCGAAACCCUAAGGUCUCCUGAGCAAGGCUCGUCCCCUCAGGGAAAGUCGGGACCUAAGCUAAGGCCGAAAGGCGUAGGCGAUGGAUAACAGGUUUAUAUUCCUGUACCGCUUGAAGUCGAUAUGAGAGAAGUGAUGACGCAAAAGGAUAAUCAAAGCCAUCUGAUGGAUGAUGGUCUAAAGCCGUAGGAAGAAAGGUAGGCAAAUCCGCCUUUCACAAAUUCUGAAAGCUGAUAGGUAUCGAAAACAUAAGUAGAGAAGUUGAUGACUCCAUGUUGCCAAGAAAAGUCACUAUCCAGACCAAAGCGCCCGUACCAAAACCGACACAGGUAGGGAGGUAGAGAAUACCAAGACGCGCGGAAGAACCUUUGUUAAGGAACUCGGCAAAAUGUCCCCG
RNAcentral lists this ribosomal RNA (1802 nucleotides) under Clostridium sp. RNAcentral's name for it is "partial 23S ribosomal RNA". It matches the Rfam family "Bacterial large subunit ribosomal RNA", at positions 1 to 1730 of the family's 2925-position model. Lineage: Bacteria; Bacillati; Bacillota; Clostridia; Eubacteriales; Clostridiaceae. The record is from RNAcentral.